AGUGAACGCUGGCGGUAGGCCUAACACAUGCAAGUCGAACGGCAGCACAGUAAGAGCUUGCUCUUACGGGUGGCGAGUGGCGGACGGGUAAGGAAUACAUCGGAAUCUACUUUUUCGUGGGGGAUAACGUAGGGAAACUUACGCUAAUACCGCAUACGACCUACGGGUGAAAGCAGGGGAUCUUCGGACCUUGCGCGAUUGAAUGAGCCGAUGUCGGAUUAGCUAGUUGGCGGGGUAAAGGCCCACAAAGGCGACGAUCCGUAGCUGGUCUGAGAGGAUGAUCAGCCACACUGGAACUGAGACACGGUCCAGACUCCUACGGGAGGCAGCAGUGGGGAAUAUUGGACAAUGGGCGCAAGCCUGAUCCAGCCAUACCGCGUGGGUGAAGAAGGCCUUCGGGUUGUAAAGCCCUUUUGUUGGGAAAGAAAAGCAGCAGGUUAAUACCCCGCUGUUCUGACGGUACCCAAAGAAUAAGCACCGGCUAACUUCGUG
RNAcentral lists this ribosomal RNA (492 nucleotides) under uncultured bacterium. RNAcentral's name for it is "partial 16S ribosomal RNA". It matches the Rfam family "Bacterial small subunit ribosomal RNA", at positions 29 to 507 of the family's 1533-position model. The record is from RNAcentral.